CUACGGGUGGCAGCAGUGAGGAAUAUUGCACAAUGGAGGAAACUCUGAUGCAGCAACGCCGCGUGGAGGAUGACGCAUUUCGGUGUGUAAACUCCUUUUAUAUGUCAAGAAAAUGACGGUAGCAUAUGAAUAAGCUCCGGCUAACUCCGUGCCAGCAGCCGCGGUAAUACGGAGGGAGCAAGCGUUACUCGGAAUCACUGGGCGUAAAGGACGCGUAGGCGGGAUAGAAAGUCAGGUGUGAAAUCCUAUGGCUCAACCAUAGAACUGCACUUGAAACUUCUAACCUAGAGUAUGGGAGGGGGUGAUGGAAUUAGUGGUGUAGGGGUAAGAUCCGUAGAUAUCACUAGGAAUACCUAAAGCGAAGGCGAUCUCCUGGAACAUUACUGACGCUAAGGCGUGAAAGCGUGGGGAGCAAACAGGAUUAGAUACCCCAGUAGUC
This 439-nucleotide ribosomal RNA is filed under the name uncultured bacterium. RNAcentral describes it as "partial 16S ribosomal RNA". It matches the Rfam family "Bacterial small subunit ribosomal RNA", at positions 339 to 795 of the family's 1533-position model. The record is from RNAcentral.